Molecule: small RNA, 860 nt
Filed under: Drosophila pseudoobscura pseudoobscura
Lineage: Eukaryota; Metazoa; Arthropoda; Insecta; Diptera; Drosophilidae
Description: GA30992
Source: RNAcentral
CUUCUCUCAAUUUGUAUUUAUUUUUGCUUCUACCCUUAGGAUAGAAUUAGAAUACAAAUAUAAAAUAUCAUUAAGAACCAUAUUCUGGUUGUUAAAUACGGUAUAUUUAUCUGCUGUCAGAGCCCACAAUAUGUUCUCCGGUACGCAUUGAGAAUAGUGGAGAUAUUCCUCGUUACACUUCGUCGGGGACUGCCCUGUGUUCGUGUAAUGCAUAGGAGCGUAAUUUAACUAUCCAUGUGGUAUCAGGUUUGACUGGAUUCCGGGCCAAAUGCACUUCCCGAUCAGUUGGCGAUGCGCUUGGGAGUUGCUAACACCGCCAAGUUCUUCUUGCGGCUCAGAGAUGUAGCCCCAAAUAUAAAUGCAAUCAAUUUCUACUUUCUGAUAAUAUAAGUCGAAGUCGUAGUCGAAGCAAUGGUAGCCGAGCCCCCCUCGCCCAAAGGUGAAGCAUUUGAAGCUCUCUCCCGCUUCGGCACUGGUGGCAUUCCAGUCGGCAGAGCUCGCUGCGGGAUAGGAUAUAGGAUAUAGGCUCCGGCUUAGUGACGGAGGCGCUUGUUCUCAUCGGGCAUACACUGGAGGGGACUUCAAGCGCUGAGUCCAUUGAUUUGGAAAUUUAUGUUAGCCGAGAAAUUACCCAGGAAUUCGUUGCCUCGACUGGAGUACGUCGGAUCGCCUAAAAGCACUCUCAUGAAUCGGGCCCUGUCGGCUUCGGCCUCCUCGGCGCUUGGAUGUGCUCUCAGAGUCCUCGUCAGGCGUAAAGCCAAACUAGUUUUUUGAUCCGCCGCAGGUGAUAAGAGAGGUGUUUGGAGAAAUAAAACAUCCAAAAAGCAAACAACAACCAAUAAUAAUCUAUUAUCUUUGGA